UACGGAGGAUGCGAGCGUUAUCCGGAUUUAUUGGGUUUAAAGGGUGCGCAGGCGGGAGAUUAAGUCGGCGGUGAAAUUUUGCAGCUCAACUGUAAAAGUGCCUUCGAAACUGGUUUCCUUGAGUGUAGAUGAAGUAGGCGGAAUUUGUGGUGUAGCGGUGAAAUGCAUAGAUAUCACGAGGAACUCCGAUUGCGAAGGCAGCUUACUAAGCUACUACUGACGCUCAGGCACGAAGGCGUAGGGAUCAAACAGGAUUAGAUACCCCGGUA
RNAcentral lists this ribosomal RNA (269 nucleotides) under uncultured prokaryote. RNAcentral's name for it is "partial 16S ribosomal RNA". It matches the Rfam family "Bacterial small subunit ribosomal RNA", at positions 524 to 792 of the family's 1533-position model. The record is from RNAcentral.